This 156-nucleotide non-coding RNA is filed under the name Pseudomonas sp. The record is from RNAcentral. RNAcentral also lists the same sequence under 1 other name. Lineage: Bacteria; Pseudomonadati; Pseudomonadota; Gammaproteobacteria; Pseudomonadales; Pseudomonadaceae.
GCUUCGCGCCUUGCAACAGGUGCCCCAGGCGCAAGCUUGGGGUGAAACUGGGAAGUUGGUGCGCAUGUUCUUUUGCUAUUCCGACGCUGCCCCCGCAACGGUAGAUGAGUGUUCUGACUCAUAAGCCCGGAGACCGGCCUUUUGCAUACCUACGGC